RNAcentral lists this long non-coding RNA (982 nucleotides) under Struthio camelus australis. RNAcentral's name for it is "lncRNA (ENSSCUG00000000953.1)". The record is from RNAcentral. Lineage: Eukaryota; Metazoa; Chordata; Aves; Struthioniformes; Struthionidae.
UCACAAUCCAGUGUUUGUGGGCUCGGCGUGAUGUCAGAGGCUCAGCCGUGUGACUUCACUCGCGGGCUCAGGCAGAAGGUGCAGACGGGGCUGAGAGAGGAGAAAAAAGCCCCCUCCUCUUCCCUUCCCCCCCACCCCCCUCCACCCUCUUGGUUUAUAAAACCAGUAGCUGAGAAAAAUGGGAAGGGGGUGGGGAGAAGCAGCAGGGAAAGCUGAGAAAGAUGCCAGAAAGGAAUUGGGCUCUAGGACUUAACACUAUGGCUUAUGGAGAUGCUUCUUGUGUCUGGAGGAGAGCCACUUCCAAGCGAUGCACCCGAGACAUGACAAUCAGUAGGUUAAGAAUCCAUGCUCUUCCUAAAAUACUUUCCAUCAAGUGCACAGAUCCUUUGAAUGUCUUAAGGGGAAAGUUCAAUAGCAGAGAAUUAAUGAGAGGAGAGCCCUCCCUGUCUUUGCUGCAGUACCUUGUGAGAUGUGUGAUACUGCUUCUCCCUCCUGUAGCGUCAGAUGUAACACUUUUUUAUCUGAAGUAACUGUAAAAGAAACAGGAGGAAGGUAUGGGAAAUCCUGGGGCUGGAUGGGAAAAGAGGCAGGAAAUGUUAAUGAAUGCAGCCAUGCCGAUGUCUUUCUUGGAGAAGGAGAAACAGGCUAGCAGCCCUUGCUUUACACUUGCUUAAAGAUUUAGCUGUCCCACCGUGAAUAUAAGUUUCAGUCCCUAGUUGCGUGACCUGUAGGUGCCUGAUCUCACUGUCAUCUUCUGUAUUAUCUAUGUUCAAGCUAGUCUCUAAUGCCCAUUCCCAUAGCAUCUAAGUGCGUCUAGAUAAAAGCUGUAAAAGUGCAGUGGAGAGCCUGUGCAUGACAUGAAAUAGCGUAACAGGGGAAAGGAUUAGGACGGAGAUACUGCAUUGAGGGGACAGGUACAGUUUCUGUGCCUAGAGAAAUCUGCGUGCCUAACUCUAUGGAGACUUCAGCCUCCUGGUGCUGC